This 429-nucleotide ribosomal RNA is filed under the name bacterium. Its description in RNAcentral is "partial 16S ribosomal RNA". It matches the Rfam family "Bacterial small subunit ribosomal RNA", at positions 355 to 776 of the family's 1533-position model. The record is from RNAcentral. RNAcentral also lists the same sequence under 2 other names.
UGGGGAAUAUUGGACAAUGGGCGAAAGCCUGAUCCAGCCAUGCCGCGUGUGUGAAGAAGGUCUUCGGAUUGUAAAGCACUUUAAGUUGGGAGGAAGGGUAGUAACCUAAUACGUUGCUACUUUGACGUUACCGACAGAAUAAGCACCGGCUAACUUCGUGCCAGCAGCCGCGGUAAUACGAAGGGUGCAAGCGUUAAUCGGAAUUACUGGGCGUAAAGCGCGCGUAGGUGGUUCAGUAAGUUGGAAGUGAAAUCCCCGGGCUCAACCUGGGAACUGCUUUCAAAACUGCUGAGCUAGAGUACGGUAGAGGGUGGUGGAAUUUCCUGUGUAGCGGUGAAAUGCGUAGAUAUAGGAAGGAACACCAGUGGCGAAGGCGACCACCUGGACUGAUACUGACACUGAGGUGCGAAAGCGUGGGGAGCAAACAGG